GGGUUGUGAGGUUAAGCGACUAAGCGUACACGGUGGAUGCCCUGGCAGUCAGAGGCGAUGAAGGACGUGCUAAUCUGCGAUAAGCGUCGGUAAGGUGAUAUGAACCGUUAUAACCGGCGAUUUCCGAAUGGGGAAACCCAGUGUGUUUCGACACACUAUCAUUAACUGAAUCCAUAGGUUAAUGAGGCGAACCGGGGGAACUGAAACAUCUAAGUACCCCGAGGAAAAGAAAUCAACCGAGAUUCCCCCAGUAGCGGCGAGCGAACGGGGAGCAGCCCAGAGCCUGAAUCAGUGUGUGUGUUAGUGGAAGCGUCUGGAAAGGCGCGCGAUACAGGGUGACAGCCCCGUACACAAAAAUGCACAUGCUGUGAGCUCGAUGAGUAGGGCGGGACACGUGGUAUCCUGUCUGAAUAUGGGGGGACCAUCCUCCAAGGCUAAAUACUCCUGACUGACCGAUAGUGAACCAGUACCGUGAGGGAAAGGCGAAAAGAACCCCGGCGAGGGGAGUGAAAAAGAACCUGAAACCGUGUACGUACAAGCAGUGGGAGCA
This 550-nucleotide ribosomal RNA is filed under the name Escherichia coli. Its description in RNAcentral is "bacterial LSU rRNA". It matches the Rfam family "Bacterial large subunit ribosomal RNA", at positions 1 to 581 of the family's 2925-position model. Lineage: Bacteria; Pseudomonadati; Pseudomonadota; Gammaproteobacteria; Enterobacterales; Enterobacteriaceae. The record is from RNAcentral.